CAGCGGACAAUUUCCGACCGUACCUGACGUCGUUCCAGGGCAACAGUUUUACGGACUACAUCAAUGCUGUCUUCGUAGACGGAUACACAAAGCCUCGGGAGUACAUAGUGACGGAAUGGCCUCUAGUGAGGACACAGGGAGAGUUCUGGUCGCUAGUGUACGACUACGAGUGCGCGGCGGUGGUGGUGCUAUGCGUACCACCAAAGAAUUCACAACAAUUCCCACCGUUCUGGCCCGAAGGCCGACAUUCUAAGAAAUACGGCCCCGUGUUCACGAUAGACCACGUCUCGCACAACCACUACACCAAU
Molecule: long non-coding RNA, 308 nt
Organism: Ostrinia furnacalis (Asian corn borer)
Lineage: Eukaryota; Metazoa; Arthropoda; Insecta; Lepidoptera; Crambidae
Exons: 3
Source: RefSeq, a predicted model, not a curated record